GCUGACGUAGCACAGUGGUAGUGCAGCUGAUUCGUAAUCAGCAGGUCGUGAGUUCAAAUCUCAUCGUCAGCUCCA
This 75-nucleotide transfer RNA is filed under the name Clostridia bacterium. RNAcentral describes it as "tRNA-Thr". It matches the Rfam family "tRNA". Rfam says of the family: Transfer RNA (tRNA) molecules are approximately 80 nucleotides in length. Their secondary structure includes four short double-helical elements and three loops (D, anti-codon, and T loops). Further hydrogen bonds mediate the characteristic L-shaped molecular structure. tRNAs have two regions of fundamental functional importance: the anti-codon, which is responsible for specific mRNA codon recognition, and the 3' end, to which the tRNAs corresponding amino acid is attached (by aminoacyl-tRNA synthetases). tRNAs cope with the degeneracy of the genetic code in two manners: having more than one tRNA (with a specific anti-codon) for a particular amino acid; and 'wobble' base-pairing, i.e. permitting non-standard base-pairing at the 3rd anti-codon position. RNAcentral also lists the same sequence under 1 other name. The record is from RNAcentral. Lineage: Bacteria; Bacillati; Bacillota; Clostridia.